RNAcentral lists this ribosomal RNA (492 nucleotides) under uncultured bacterium. Its description in RNAcentral is "partial 16S ribosomal RNA". It matches the Rfam family "Bacterial small subunit ribosomal RNA", at positions 29 to 507 of the family's 1533-position model. The record is from RNAcentral.
AGUGAACGCUGGCGGUAGGCCUAACACAUGCAAGUCGAACGGCAGCACAGUAAGAGCUUGCUCUUACGGGUGGCGAGUGGCGGACGGGUGAGGAAUACAUCGGAAUCUACUUUUUCGUGGGGGAUAACGUAGGGAAGCUUACGCUAAUACCGCAUACGACCUACGGGUGAAAGCAGGGGAUCUUCGUACCUUGCGCGAUUGAAUGAGCCGAUGUCGGAUUAGCUAGUUGGCGGGGUAAAGGCCCACCAAGGCGACGAUCCGUAGCUGGUCUGAGAGGAUGAUCAGCCACACUGGAACUGAGACACGGUCCAGACUCCUACGGGAGGCAGCAGUGGGGAAUAUUGGACAAUGGGCGCAAGCCUGAUCCAGCCAUACCGCGUGGGUGAAGAAGGCCUUCGGGUUGUAAAGCCCUUUUGUUGGGAAAGAAAAGCAGCAGGUUAAUACCCCGCUGUUCUGACGGUACCCAAAGAAUAAGCACCGGCUAACUUCGUG